RNAcentral lists this long non-coding RNA (288 nucleotides) under Gossypium barbadense (sea-island cotton). RNAcentral describes it as "long non-coding RNA (GBAR_LNC015980)". The record is from RNAcentral. Lineage: Eukaryota; Viridiplantae; Streptophyta; Magnoliopsida; Malvales; Malvaceae.
UUUCCUUGUGGGUGUGAAUUUCACAGUCUGAAGUUGGGUACGCAACACAAGUCAGCAGAUAACCUUCCUCCAUUUGUUUAUCGUCAAGGAAAGAACCAUCAGAUUGAUCCACAGAACCUGAAAUCAUCUUCCCGGCACAUGUGCAGCAAGCUCCAGCUCUGCAAGAAUAUGGUAGCUCAACCCCUGCUUCCUCAGCUGCAUCUAGAAUGUACUUAUCAUCAGGGGACUCAAACUCGUUCACCUCACCUUUUGGUCCUACAAGCUUAAUCUUGUAAGUUGCCAUUGAGG